UCGCCCCCGCCCCAGCCUCACCCGCCUCUGGGAAUCCAGCCGGAUCCUCUGCUAAAGGGGCGUGGGAGCAGCGCGCAUCCCGGCGCGCAACGGCAGCGCCAGAGGGUGACUUGGUAGCUCGUUGUCAGUCAGCUUUGGCCCCCUGGGACCUCUGGGGUCCGUUUUCAAAAAGGAGACUGGGUGAAGGCAGAUUUUAAAAGAGAAAAAGGAAGAAGGUGGGAAGCUGAAGCUUUGGUGGCAUUAGGAAGCUGCUGGGUGCCCCUCUCCGGGAACUCCGCUCGACCGAGAGAGUGGCCCCGGGUCUCCUACCAGGAUAGAUGAACAGCGAAGACAGAGGCGAGGUUGGAGUUGAAGGACUGCUGAAGGGAGGCAGGGGUUUGGAAAAGGAGCUGGACCCUCCCUAGAACUGCCCCAGCGCCUUCAUCCUUCCGCCCAUCUCAGGCACCGCCGUCAGAACCGAGAGAGUGGGGCAGACUUGAUCCUGGUGGGGUGACUUCGACGGAGCGUGGCGGACAGGCGCACGGAGAGCUGGUGAGGGGCAACCCUGAAAGUGCUGGGGGAUUGACAAAGCCUGGCGGAGCUGGGCCCCAGUCUUGAGAGGGGGCUGCCGGAGUCCUCUCCCUCCUCACCGGGGCUCUCGCCUCCUCGGCAUCCUGUAACUCCUAGCUCUCGGCCUCCGCUGUUCAAAACUCCGGGCUGGCUCCAUCACCGCUCCUUGGGAGUGGCUGGAGCAGGUGGACCUUUGCGUCCCAACGUAUAAGUGACCGACCUCCCCGAUCUCCUGCUUGCACGCUGGGAUCAGGGGCCCUGCGGUCGCAUUCUGCUCUGAACCUGGACUUCGGCGCCGCGCCAACUCCCGCGGGCCCCACGAGGAGCGGCCAUAGGAGCUGGAGGCGCAGAAGCCUUGAGAAGACACAAAGACUGUCUGCAGCGCUUGGCGGGGCGCGGGGAACCCCAAGCUCUGUAAGGCCGGGGCAGUUGUGGGACUUAAAGGGCGGCAGUUUCGGCUAGGCCUGAGAAAGAUUCCGCGAACAGCUGGAAGCUACAUUGGAAGGGGUUGGUUAAGGAAAAAGCAAGCUCUUCAUCCACGGGGUAUGCAAGCCCAGGCUGAACGUUCACUUGGGGUGUGUGUGUGUGGGGAUGUAGGCAGGGGUCUGCAAUUUGGAAGAAGGGGCCUGGGAGCUCUGGUUUUGCGUAGGGCGAGGAUGCAGCGUCCGCCUGGUCUGGCCCUGGAAGGUGCCGCUCCCCUCACCGCUCCACCCCCCCGCCCCUCCCCUGCUGCCAGCUGUACAAGACUUCGAUUCACUUCGCUCCGGAGUCCUUGAAGGGAGAGCUGCGAAAAGGCCCGCAUUCCCUCCUCCCUGUCCCCUCCCCUUCCUCGCUCCCUCUGCAAGCACUUAAAAUGUAAAUGUACACCGUGAUUAGCCGCUGGGUCUCUAA
Hipposideros armiger (great roundleaf bat) is the source of this 1440-nucleotide long non-coding RNA. RefSeq lists it as uncharacterized. Lineage: Eukaryota; Metazoa; Chordata; Mammalia; Chiroptera; Hipposideridae. The record is from RefSeq and is a predicted model, not a curated record. The transcript has 2 exons.